AGGGGUGUAGCUCAGUGGUAGAGUGCUUGCCUAGCAUGUGCAAGACUCUGGGUUCAAUCCCCAACACUGCCA
Ictidomys tridecemlineatus (thirteen-lined ground squirrel) is the source of this 72-nucleotide non-coding RNA. The record is from Rfam. NCBI's taxonomy places the organism in Eukaryota, Metazoa, Chordata, Mammalia, Rodentia, Sciuridae.